GCGGCCCUAAGGCCACGCCCUCAACGUCAAGGGGCGGAGCUCCUCGUGGGUUUCUUUCCAGAGCCGGACUUGUGUACCUCCUACCCAGAAGUCCAACCACGCCCCCAGAAAGUUGACUCGGAAGCUUUCAGCAAAGGACAACUGGUUCAACUGAAAUGUGUCCAUUACCUCCUUCAAUGAGCAGCUCUGUCAAGGAGAGCAUCAUGCUCUGAUUGUCCUGGAAACAGCAACAUCACUGGAAUUGGGGACCAGAUCUGGAACCUGAUCAAAUCAGGAGUGAUGAAACAAGAAGGAAAAAGAGGAAAAGAAGUGAAAGUAUCUAAAGGUCACCAGUAGAAAACUCUUAAGAAUCCCUGUUCUCGAGGACCCAGAAAGAGGCUGGAGGAAAGCCUACAACGGUCAACUUUCUCCUCCAUCAUACAUGCAUCUUGGGCCAUCAGGCUUUGGUUGUCAAGUGCUUUCACCAGAUGAGCCAUCUCACUGGCUGUCAAAAACUUUAAGGAUGUUGAGGAUGUGCUCCAUAAAUUCUCAUUACACACGAGAGGCCUCCAGAAAGUUUAAUAAGCACAUGGCUUUCCAGGCUUUCAAUAGAAAGCCUGAAAAGAGAAAAGAUCUUUUACAAAGAGCCUCAUUAGUUAAGGUGUGACCUUGUUAGACAAGGUGUGGAAACAUCGGGAAGAUUCACAGAAAAUGCACAGAAUUUUGAGGAACUAUGUUAGCACAAAAAUAUUGCCACAGGAUGGUUUCAUAUAUGCACGGUCCCCAGACAUUGAUCCUAGGGGCAAGAGGAUUAGCAAUUUCUAGGUCAUCCUUGGCUGCAUAAUGAGUUUGAGGCCAGCUUGGACUAGGUGAGAUAAUGUCUUAACAAACAAAGGAGAAUUCAGUGAGACAGCUCAGUGGGCAAACCUGCUUCUGAGCAAGCCUGAUAACGUGGGACCCACGUAAUUCAAGGAAAGAACCAACUCCCAAAAGUUGUCCUCUGACCUCCAAACAUGUGCCAUGCCCAACACAUGCCUAAGCCCACAACAAUUGUAAUAAAAAUGAAAACAAAUGAUGAACAACCAAUCAACCACAUAAAAAACAAAUUAAAAUAAUAUUACCAACAAAAUCAGGAACAGACAAAAGAUUGAUAUAAAAUCCAUCUUGACCCAGGUUUUCCCCUUUUAAUAUAAGAAUAUUUAUUUAUAAUACCUUAUGUCUACUUUGCCACGGUUUUGCGAGUAUAUGGGAGUAAGGCAGACAGCUUUUGGGGGGGGUAUUACAAGCUCACAGACAUGGAUGAACAGUAUUUCUGCAAUUGUUCCUAAGAAACUACAAUCACAGAAUCAAGACUGUUCAUCUAUAUUUAGAUUCAAAGUUUGAAGGCAUUGGCUUUGAUCUGAUGCUGUAACUGAUGAAUUUUAGUGCAUGAGAUGUGCUGGGUAUAUGCUUUAUCUGUAAGAACUGAGAACUAUUGAAGGUCAACAGCUUGUUUUUAAUAACAGAAUCUGCUACCCUACUUUUUAAAAAAUCUUAACAGUGAUCAGCUGAAAAGACUCCAGAAGGAUCAGUCAAACAUAUGGUCCCAUAGUUGGGCUGACUAUGUGUAUGUGUGUCCUAUGCUAUCACUCAGAAGGUUCCCAUGCAGUUUACUGAGCUGUGAUGCUCUUGGCAUGCUUUUAGAGAAUUACCUUGAUUAAAUUAAUGGAGAUAGGUAGAACCACCCACUGUGGGUGGCACCACCCUGGGCCAUCUGAAAAGGAGAAAUUGAGCUUAGCAAAAGCAUUCAUCACUCUGAUUCUUGACCAGGGGUGGGGGUGUAUACAGUAAUCAGUUGCUCUAACCUCCUGAUGCUGUAAUUUCCCCACCAUUAUGGACUUUACCCUUGAACUGAGUCAAAAUUUUCCCAUUCUCCUAAUGUUGGUUUUGUCAUGGUAACUUAUUACAAGACAUGAAAAGUAACUAAGAUACUAGUACAUUAGUAUAUCAUUGUACAACUGGAAGGUCAUAUAUUCAAGAGAUUCUCUCAUUUUGUGGCAGAGGAAAAUGGAUUUUAACAAUAGCUACAUACAUUGAACACAUUCAUGUUGUGUUAAUAUGGUUGAUGGUCUCUUGAAGAUUAAA
Long non-coding RNA from Mesocricetus auratus (golden hamster), 2103 nucleotides. RefSeq lists it as uncharacterized. The transcript is spliced from 3 exons. The record is from RefSeq and is a predicted model, not a curated record. NCBI's taxonomy places the organism in Eukaryota, Metazoa, Chordata, Mammalia, Rodentia, Cricetidae.